AGUUGUAGUAAAACAUACAUAUUUAUUAUUUUAAUUAAGUGUGCAUUUUAAUGAGAUUACAUUCAGUGAGUAUGUACAUUCAUGAUGCUGUGUCAAUAAUGAGAAAAAUCUCAAUUCAUAAUCUAGCUUCCACCUUGGGCAAUGAAAGAAAAACAGCAGUGUAAUAUAAAAUGGAGGAAAAAUAAAUAAUGACUGCAGAAAUUAAUGGAAUAAAAAAACAGGAAAUCAUCAGAGAAAAUCAACAAAACCAAAAGCCAGUUCUUUGAAAAGGUCAGUGACAUUGAUAAACCUCUACCUCAUCUAACCACAAAGGAAAGAAGGACGUCACAAUGUACUAAUAAUAUCGGUUUAAGAGGAGUGAAAUCAAAAAAUAAUAAAUAAAAAGGAAAUAUUCUGAACACAUCUGUGCUCACACUUGGACACAUUAUAUGAAAUGAGCUAACUUUUUGGAUCUAUUUUAGAAGGUUAAAAGUCCUCUCAGGAUAAACGGAUCAUCUGAAGAGGCCUAUAUUUCUCUUAAAAAUUGAAUCAAUAAUUAAUAUCUUCUCAAAAAAACAAAAACAAAAACACUACCUUCAGAUGAUUUCACCGGUAAAACCUACCAAAAUUCUUACAAAGAAACAUGCAGUCUUACCAUACAAGCAAGUAAUCAUAAUUUUAGUAUUUCCUUACAAUUUAAAAA
This is a long non-coding RNA of Sapajus apella (tufted capuchin), 682 nucleotides long. RefSeq lists it as uncharacterized. NCBI's taxonomy places the organism in Eukaryota, Metazoa, Chordata, Mammalia, Primates, Cebidae. The record is from RefSeq and is a predicted model, not a curated record. The transcript is spliced from 3 exons.